GAUGAAGAACGUAGCGAAAUGCGAUAAGUAGUGUGAAUUGCAGAAUUCAGUGAAUCAUCGAAUCUUUGAACGCACAUUGCGCCCUUUGGUAUUCCUUAGGGCAUGCCUGUUCGAGCGGCAUUUAAACCUUCAAGCUAAGCUUGGUGUUGGGUGACUGUCCGCUUCACGGCGGACUCGCCUCAAAAUUAUUGGCGGCCGGUACAUUGGCUUCGAGCGCAGCAGAAACGCGAACUCGGGCCCGUCGUAUUGGCUCCCAGAAGCUAUCUUCACAAUUUUGACCUCGGAUCAGGUAGGGAUACCCGCUGAACUUAAGCAUAUCAAUAAGCGGAGGA
Molecule: unclassified non-coding RNA, 332 nt
Filed under: soil metagenome
Description: partial contains 5.8S ribosomal RNA, internal transcribed spacer 2, and large subunit ribosomal RNA
Rfam family: 5.8S ribosomal RNA (bases 1-120)
Source: RNAcentral